Molecule: long non-coding RNA, 3740 nt
Organism: Tachysurus fulvidraco (yellow catfish)
Lineage: Eukaryota; Metazoa; Chordata; Actinopteri; Siluriformes; Bagridae
Exons: 2
Source: RefSeq, a predicted model, not a curated record
GAGCUGAGUCUUCUUUGUAUGUUAAUCAUAAAAUGCCACAGUAAGGUACAUAAACCACAUUAUAUUUACAAUAAUGCUGCACCUGCUCAGAGUAUGUACUUUUAACAACAGACAUCUGAACAAAGAAGCUUUAAAUAAACAGAGAUGUAGUUUUUGAUUUCUUGCUGUGGCAAGAAAACUGUCAUGAGAAGAAAAAUGCAGUACUUACACAAGGCAUACUAUAACCUACACAAGGCAUAUUAUAUGGCUUAUCAUAUAACAGGUGCAGCUUCAUUGUUAAAAAUAAGUGUGAGGGGUGGUUAAGUGACCCUAAGCAAGAUGGCAGCUUAAGAGUUUUGCCCCGCUUUGGAACUCUGAAAUUUUAUUAUCUAGCCCUGUUUUUUCGCAUACUUUGUGUUUAUUCCAUAAUGUGAAGAAAAAUGGAGAGUUCUGGGGAUAAGGAUUUUCCUAUCUUUUCAUCAACAAGAUUACAGAAAAAUAAGGAGAAAAUGAAAAAACCCUCUGCAUGUGAUGGAGAAGGGGAAGAGGUCAGUGCUAGCCUACAAUCGGAUACUUCACUUAUUUUGAGUGAAAUUAGGGCUGUUGGUACCAGGCUAGAAGGUAUUGAGGGUCAGUUGGGAAAUAUUGCUUCUUCUGUUGCAGUUCAUGAGAACGCAUUCGCUGCCCUCACCGCACGAGUCACUGACACAGAGACACGGAACAACUGCAGGCUAUAGUGGGCGACCUGGAAAACGGGCCUCCGUAUAAACAUGAGGAUUGUUGGGUUUACUGAGAAAGCGGAAGGCAGUGAAUCUCUGACUGCAUUUUUACAGGCUAUGUUACCGGUUUGGGUUUAGCUUUCCACAGACUCCCCUGUCAUCAAGAUCGAGAGAGCGCAUAGAACCCCACUUCCAUCUCAGUCCACACCAAACACACUGCCAAAGGAGUGUUAUUGUGCGUUUUCUAUGCAUCCGAGAAAGAGAGGCAGUUUUAAGAGCUGCUACACUCUUUAAAAAAAAAAAAACGCUGGGUUGUUUUUUCAAACCAAUGCUGUGCUGAGGCUGCUUGGUAGGACUUUGGGUUGUUUUAACCCAAGUUUGGGUUGAAAAUUGUCUUGAGCUAUAACCCAGUGGCGCUGGGUUGGUAACACGGACGUGAAAGAGAGCAUGCAUGUUAACGUUCUUUGCGUCUUCAGAUGAAAGCGAGUGAAAUUCUGUCUGAAACAUAAGUUAUUCAAUAUGUAUUUAACGAUGUUCAUAGAAAUAAAAAAAACCUGCUUUAGUGUUAUAUGCGCAAUUUAGGCUUUCAGUCAGUUAAACUGAGACUACCACAUGGCCAAGUGACAGCCGUGCUCCAACUCACGACAGAUCCCAGAUCAGUGAACAGAAGAGCACGCGUGGCAUCUUCAUUGGAGCUUGAAAGUAAUAGGUUGAUGGCAGCAAGUACUGUUCCCUGGUGUGGCAGUGUCUUCAGACUGUGGUGUAUGGACUUCCUGGGGAGGAGACACCAGCAGUAAGAGUUCUGCGAGCACUCAUUUUUGCAUUCAUUGCAUUCAUUUUUUUUAUUAUUAAUUAAACAGUAUAGUAUUAAUACACUUAUUAUUAUUACUGUGACCCUACUGCUUAAUGGAAUUCUGUGUUCUUUAACUUGAUAUUUUCAUAUUUCAAAUACAUAUUUAAUUGGAAGUAAAUUUUCCUGACUGCAGUCAGUUUGAUGCAGUUUGAGUUUUGCUGCAAUUACAUUGGAAUUGAUGCUUCUUACUGAUGAUUCUUAUAUCUUCGGAUAUUUAGGUUUAUGUAAAUGUUAUGAAAUGUUUUCAGAUUUUAAAUUUGUAUUCUUAAAGUAAAUUUUUCUGACUGAAGUCAGUGAUGCAUUUACUGUGAUAUUUGAUACUUUUUCAUAGAAUGCAAGCAUUUUACAUGCUGUUAUGACAAAAUCAGCUCCAUUAGACAUAUUAUAUAUUACAUUUAAGGUUUGCUAUUUUAGCCUAGACAUCCUUUACAAAAAUAAGAAAAUGUGUAUUAAUAAAACGAAGGAUGACAUUUUAUUUAGAUCACCUAAAUUGCUUCCACAUACAUCCGUGUUUCCCAUGGGCGGGGUUGGAUUACCAAAGUAAGUAUUCAUUAUUCAUUAUUUUAAUCACUUAAAUUUCUGACUCAUUUUGGGUUAAAUUCAACCCAGCAGUGUAGUCAUUUUUAAAUAAUAGUUGGGUUAAAAUCACAACCCAGCAUGCUAAAAUAACCCAGCGUUGGGUUCGUCCCUUUUUGACCUAGCGCUGGGUUGCCAAAAUAACCUAAAUUGGGUUGUUUUUUACCCAGCAGUUUUUAGAGUGUAGGAAAACACCAGUAAAACAUAGUGCUGCCACAUUACACUUUUUCCCGGACCUAUCAGCGGAGGUUGCGCUUAAGCGUCGAGCAUUUGGAGGGGUGUGCAAAAGAAUGGUGGAUCAAGGGGUAUACCGAGGCUUCGACUUCACUACACUUCGCUGUUUACACAAUGGAAAGAUCAUUUUAUUUGAUAAUGUGAUAGCAGCUACUAACUUUCUGGACGCAGCCUAGUGAUUUUUUCCAUCCUGUUUUUCUGUGGACCAUAAGAUUGUUCCCAUUUUUUCCCACUUCAAGGGCGUAUCAUGUUUCUUCCUACUGAACACAAAUGUAUGGCUUUUUCAAGGUGAUGCAGAGCCACUUGGCAGAACUCUGUUUGUAAGGACAAACUUCAGUUCUAUAUUUUAUGACUGCUAUGUGAGACCUGCACUAAAGUUGUUGUUUUUUCUUAUCCAAUUGCCAUUCAAUUUUAUGUCCACAGUUUUUUUUUCCUUCUCUUUCCUUUUUUAGGUUUUACAUAAUUACGCCAUUACAUUUAUCCUCAUUAAUUUUGCUAGAGUGGAUUUUAUUUAUUUCUAGAAGGAGUUUUGGGGGGUUUCUCUGUCUGUCAUGUUCCUUGGGUAAUGUAGUUAAAAGAGAGAAUUUAUUAACACUCUUGAAGAGAGAAAAGGUAACUAUUGCACUCUUACAGGAGACGCAUUUGUCAGAUAUAGAACAUUUAAAGCUUAAAUGAGACUGGAUUAGUCAGGUAUAUUUUAGUUCAUUCCCAUCAAAUAAACGCCAAAAUAAACUCCAGUUUUAAAGACUUCUAUAAGAAUCUGUACACCUCCUCUUGUGCACCCCAAGACCCUAUACAUUUUUGGAUAAGAUAUCCUUACCCUCAAUCUCAGACGAGGACCAGGCCUUUCUCAAUACCCCUCUAACAAAAGACAAUAUCUUUGCAGGUAUUCAAUCUAUGCCUAGUGGGAGGGCACCAGGGCUUGAUGGCUUCCCUCUGGAAUUUUACAAAAAAUUGGAAUGUGCUGUCUCCUAUCUUCAUGUUAUGUCCUAUCUUCCAGUAGUUGACAAUCUUUUAGAAGACAGUUUUACUCCAGAUUCUUGGAGGACUGCCUUGAUCCUCAAAAAAGGAAAGAACCUAUUAGACUGUGCCUCAUAUCGCGCAAUAAGUUUACUUAACUAGUUUACUAACCCUAGACUUCAAAAUUGUGGCCAAAGCCGUACCUCGUCGCCUGGAGAGAAUCCUACCUAAGGUCAUUAAACCAGACCAAACUGGAUUCAUUAAAUCCUGUUAUGGUUCAGACAAUAUAUGUCACCUGUUGAACAUAAUACACCAUUUGACUGCAAAUGGUGACCCAGCUGCUAUAAUAUCUCUAGAUGUUAUAAUCUCAUUUGUUAUUUUAUCACAAAUAAAAUGAAUGUGCUUCCCUGUUUACUUUA